AUUGCCCUAGUAACGGCGAGUGAAGCGGCAACAGCUCAAAUUUGAAAUCUGGCGCAAGCCCGAGUUGUAAUUUGUAGAGGAUGCUUCUGGGUAGCGGCCGGUCUAAGUUCCUUGGAACAGGACGUCAUAGAGGGUGAGAAUCCCGUAUGUGACUGGCUUGCACCCUCCACGUAGCUCCUUCGACGAGUCGAGUUGUUUGGGAAUGCAGCUCUAAAUGGGAGGUAAAUUUCUUCUAAAGCUAAAUACCGGCCAGAGACCGAUAGCGCACAAGUAGAGUGAUCGAAAGAUGAAAAGCACUUUGGAAAGAGAGUUAAAAAGCACGUGAAAUUGUUGAAAGGGAAGCGCCCGCAACCAGACUUUGCGGCAGUGUUCGGCCGGUCUUCUGACCGGUUUACUCGCUGUCGUGAGGCCAUCAUCGUCUGGGACCGCUGGAUAAGACCUUAGGAAUGUGGCUCCCCUCGGGGAGUGUUAUAGCCUCUGGUGAUGCAGCGCGUCUCGGGCGAGGUCCGCGCUUCGGCAAGGAUGAUGGCGUAAUGGUUGUCGGCGGCCCGUCUUGAAACACGGACCAAGGAGUCUAACAUCUAUGCGAGUGUUCGGGUGUCAAACCCCUACGCGUAAUGAAAGUGAACGGAGGUGGGAACUUUUUGUGCACCAUCGACCGAUCCUGAUGUCCUCGGAUGGAUUUGAGUAAGAGCAUAGCUGUUGGGACCCGAAAGAUGGUGAACUAUGCCUGAAUAGGGUGAAGCCAGAGGAAACUCUGGUGGAGGCUCGCAGCGGUUCUGACGUGCAAAUCGAUCGUCAAAUUUGGGUAUAGGGGCGAAAGACUAAUCGAACCAUCUAGUAGCUGGUUCCUGCCGA
This 858-nucleotide ribosomal RNA is filed under the name Pseudocercospora macadamiae. Its description in RNAcentral is "LSU rRNA". It matches the Rfam family "Eukaryotic large subunit ribosomal RNA", at positions 74 to 964 of the family's 3401-position model. Lineage: Eukaryota; Fungi; Ascomycota; Dothideomycetes; Mycosphaerellales; Mycosphaerellaceae. The record is from RNAcentral.